UUUCCUACCCUACCUGAAGACU
This 22-nucleotide microRNA is filed under the name Homo sapiens (human). RNAcentral describes it as "hsa-miR-3685". Lineage: Eukaryota; Metazoa; Chordata; Mammalia; Primates; Hominidae. The record is from miRBase by way of RNAcentral.